AUGCGGCAAUAUGGACAGACAAUUAAGGGCAGUUUGAAACAUAAAUCCAUCUUUGAUGAGAAGAUAAGAGAGCAAAUCAAGAAAUACAGGCACCAUUUUAUAAGAUUUUUGUCAUAACAACAAAAAGGCUCAGCGGUACCUUCUUCAUGGUUUGGAAUGUGUGGUGGCGAUGCAUCAAGCCCAGCUGAUCUCCAAGAUUCCUCAUAUCUUAAAGGAGAUGUAUGAUGCAGACCUACUAGAAGAGGAGGUCAUUAUCAGCUGGUCAGAAAAGGCCUCUAAGAAAUAUGUCUCAAAAGAACUUGCCAAAGAGGUUCGUGUCAAAGCAGAGCCAUUUAUUAAAUGGUUGAAGGAAGCAGAGGAAGAAUCUUCCAGUGGUGAGGAAGAAGACGAAGAUGAAAAUAUUGAGGUGGUAUAUUCGAAGACUGCCAGUGUACCAAAAGAUGAAACUGUGAAGUCUGACAACAAGGAUGAUGACAUUGAUAUUGACGCCAUUUAAAAGGAUGGAUGCAACUUAGCUUAACAGUGUAAUGCUGCAAAUUUUUCUCCAUUAUCAGCCAGAAGUGCGACAUGUAUGUGCAAGAGCUAAAGUGGCUUAACAUCAUGCUACACUUGAUACUAAAAAGCUAUUACUGUGAGUGGUCUAUAAUUAAGCCCAGUGAGACAUCUAGGAAGUCCAUACAUAUCAGUGAGCAGUUGUAGUUUGCUUAUUUAUAGCAUGUUUCUUUCAGAAAAACUAGUGGUGGACACAUUUGGAUCACAUUUAUACAGUUAUAAAAAAAUAAAGAUUUGAUUUUGGUCAUUCUUCAGA
Arvicanthis niloticus (Nile rat) is the source of this 808-nucleotide non-coding RNA. Lineage: Eukaryota; Metazoa; Chordata; Mammalia; Rodentia; Muridae. The record is from RefSeq and is a predicted model, not a curated record.